RNAcentral lists this ribosomal RNA (410 nucleotides) under Bacillota bacterium. RNAcentral's name for it is "Firmicutes bacterium partial 16S ribosomal RNA". It matches the Rfam family "Bacterial small subunit ribosomal RNA", at positions 355 to 776 of the family's 1533-position model. Lineage: Bacteria; Bacillati; Bacillota. The record is from RNAcentral.
UGGGGAAUAUUGCGCAAUGGGCGGAAGCCUGACGCAGCGACGCCGCGUGGGGGAUGACGGCCUUCGGGUUGUAAACCUCUUUCGCCCCCGACGAAGCGUGAGUGACGGUAGGGGGAGAAGAAGCACCGGCCAACUACGUGCCAGCAGCCGCGGUAACACGUAGGGUGCGAGCGUUGUCCGGAAUUAUUGGGCGUAAAGAGCUCGUAGGCGGUGUGUCGCGUCGGCCGUGAAAACCUGCAGCUUAACUGUGGGCUUGCGGUCGAUACGGGCAUCACUGGAGUUCGGCAGGGGAGACUGGAAUUCCUGGUGUAGCGGUGAAAUGCGCAGAUAUCAGGAGGAACACCGGUGGCGAAGGCGGGUCUCUGGGCCGAUACUGACGCUGAGGAGCGAAAGCGUGGGGAGCGAACAGG